RNAcentral lists this ribosomal RNA (383 nucleotides) under uncultured eukaryote. RNAcentral's name for it is "partial 18S ribosomal RNA". It matches the Rfam family "Eukaryotic small subunit ribosomal RNA", at positions 592 to 976 of the family's 1831-position model. The record is from RNAcentral.
CAAUAGCGUAUAUUAAAGUUGUUGCAGUUAAAAAGCUCGUAGUUGGAUUUCUGGUGGGAGCGAUCGGUCUGGCGCUUAGCGCGAGUACUUGCAUCGUCUCCGGCCAUCCUUGGGGAGAGUCUGUCUGGCAUUAAGUUGUCGGGCAGAGGAUCCUCAUCGUUUACUGUGAAAAAAUUAGAGUGUUCAAAGCAGGCUUAUGCCGUUGAAUAUAUUAGCAUGGAAUAAUAAGAUAGGACUUUGGUACUAUUUUGUUGGUUUGCGGACCAAAGUAAUGAUUAAUAGGGACAGUUGGGGGUAUUCGUAUUCCGUUGUCAGAGGUGAAAUUCUUGGAUUUACGGAAGACGAACUACUGCGAAAGCAUUUACCAAGGAUGUUUUCAUUAA